ACGAGUGUGUGGACUAAUCAGCGUCCAUCAGGAAGUAAAGCCGGAAACUCGGGGCGUACUUCAGACACAAGAUCCCGGGCUCCAGAUUGAUAGUCUGCGUUUUCAGAAUAGUUCUUUUUUUAAUUGAUAAGGGUAGUAUAUCUCAUUUUAAAGACAUUUAAGAUAUUUCAUUUCUUCUUUUUGUUCUCAGUCAUGUUUUGCUUUUCUUUGACGUCGAGAAACAAAGACGAUGGCCCCUUAGCUAUUAGCUGCUUCAGAGUCAGCCUCGGCAUGACGCAGCAUUUCCACCAGGCUUCAUCGCCUUGCUCUUCGACUUCCCGUGCAGACGUUGCUUUAAGGCAGAGGGGCUGAUGGGAAAGCAGUCAGCCAAGUUGGUGGUGCUGGUGAGCCCGCGUGCAAAUGGCAAAUGUACAAUUACGUUUUGCUGAAAGAAAACUAGAAGGUGCUAUCCGGAAGUACAACACAUCACAGAGGAAGGCAAGUUUUCCAAAGCAGAAGAAGAUGACAGAUUCCCUGAGCUCCACCAUUACGACAGGUGCACCUUCGCUGGCAUCAGAGCUAUGUUUGAAGCAGAUUCUUCAAUUUGCGAUCUUGGCUCUCCAGCAGCAUUGAUGUAUUUUUAUGUCUGCAGUAAUUUAAUAUGGAACAACUUUAAAGUAUAAAUUGUUGACAUUUGGGGCUACAAUGUUCGCACAACAAAGCAAGCAAGUUGUUUCCUCCAGCACAAUUUGCCGAGCUGUUUU
This is a long non-coding RNA of Hippocampus comes (tiger tail seahorse), 743 nucleotides long. RefSeq lists it as uncharacterized. The transcript has 3 exons. The record is from RefSeq and is a predicted model, not a curated record. NCBI's taxonomy places the organism in Eukaryota, Metazoa, Chordata, Actinopteri, Syngnathiformes, Syngnathidae.